ACCUGCGGAAGGAUCAUUGUCGUGACCCUAACAAAAAUAGACUGUGAAUAUGUCAUCGAUAACGUCGGGUGAUGGUCCUUGCACCGUCCCACGGCACAGGCCCUUUUCCUCCUUCUGGAGGGGAGGGUCACCAAAAGAACCCACGGCGUCGGAUGGCGUCAAGGAACACUGUUGUUGCUUGCUCAGGGCUACGGUCGGCUUGCUGAACGAGCCCUGUGUUGCGAUGCUACCUGAAUCAAUAAGACUCUCGGCAACGGAUAUCUUGGCUCCCGCAUCGAUGAAGAACGUAGCAAAAUGCGAUACCUGGUGUGAAUUGCAGAAUCCCGUGAACCAUCGAGUUUUUGAACGCAAGUUGCGCCCGAGGCCUCUUGGUCGAGGGCACGUCUGCCUGGGUGUCACGUCAAAAGACACUCCCCUGCAAUCUUGGUACGGGAUGUGGCGUUUGGCCUUCCAUUACAAUCAUAAGGUGUGGUAGGCUAAAGAAAGUGGCUGCUGGAUAUGGUGCCAGUCACAACACUUGGUGGACGACACAUGUUGUUCUCGGAGUUGUGACCUGUACUGCUUUUGGCGACAUUGGCCCAUUGGACCCAUGGAUCGAGCUUUGAUUGCUUGCACCGCGACCCCAGGUCAGUCGGGAUUACCCGCUGAAUUUAAGCAUAUCAAUAAG
RNAcentral lists this ribosomal RNA (667 nucleotides) under Sporobolus palmeri. RNAcentral describes it as "eukaryotic LSU rRNA". The stretch from base 243 to 398 matches the Rfam family "5.8S ribosomal RNA". The record is from RNAcentral. Lineage: Eukaryota; Viridiplantae; Streptophyta; Magnoliopsida; Poales; Poaceae.